UAACGAAUCUUCCGCAAUGGGCGCAAGCCUGACGGAGCAAUACCGCGUGUAGGAUGAAGCGUCUCUGACGUGUAAACUACUGUCAGGGGGCAGAAACAAUGAUUGACCCCAAAGGAAGUGGCGACUAACUCUGUGCCAGCAGUCGCGGUAAUACAGAGGCCACGAGCGUUAGUCGGAAUCACUGGGCUUAAAGGGUGCGUAGGUGGGUCCGCAAGCGUCCUGUGAAAUACCUCAGCUCAACUGGGGAACAGCAGGGCGAACUGCGGGUCUUGAGGCAGGUAGGGGCUGGAAGAACGGUCGGUGGAGCGGUGAAAUGCGUAGAGAUCGACCGGAAUGCCGAUGGGGAAGCCGUCAGCUGGGCCUGUCCUGACACUGAGGCACGAAAGCGUGGGGAGCAAACAGGAUUAGAUACCCACGUAGUCCCUGAGCGGGCUGGCAAGGCGCAU
Molecule: ribosomal RNA, 446 nt
Filed under: uncultured bacterium
Lineage: Bacteria
Description: bacterial SSU rRNA
Rfam family: Bacterial small subunit ribosomal RNA
Source: RNAcentral